This 492-nucleotide ribosomal RNA is filed under the name uncultured bacterium. RNAcentral describes it as "partial 16S ribosomal RNA". It matches the Rfam family "Bacterial small subunit ribosomal RNA", at positions 29 to 507 of the family's 1533-position model. The record is from RNAcentral.
AGUGAACGCUGGCGGUAGGCCUAACACAUGCAAGUCGAACGGCAGCACAGUAAGAGCUUGCUCUUACGGGUGGCGAGUGGCGGACGGGUGAGGAAUACAUCGGAAUCUACUUUUUCGUGGGGGAUAACGUAGGGAAACUUACGCUAAUACCGCAUACGACCUACGGGUGAAAGCAGGGGAUCUUCGGACCUUGCGCGAUUGAAUGAGCCGAUGUCGGAUUAGCUAGUUGGCGGGGUAAAGGCCCACCAAGGCGACGAUCCGUAGCUGGUCUGAGAGGAUGAUCAGCCACACUGGUACUGAGACACGGUCCAGACUCCUACGGGAGGCAGCAGUGGGGAAUAUUGGACAAUGGGCGCAAGCCUGAUCCAGCCAUACCGCGUGGGUGAAGAAGGCCUUCGGGUUGUAAAGCCCUUUUGUUGGGAAAGAAAAGCAGCAGGUUAAUACCCCGCUGUUCCGACGGUACCCAAAGAAUAAGCACCGGCUAACUUCGUG